This 253-nucleotide ribosomal RNA is filed under the name uncultured bacterium. RNAcentral describes it as "partial 16S ribosomal RNA". It matches the Rfam family "Bacterial small subunit ribosomal RNA", at positions 524 to 776 of the family's 1533-position model. The record is from RNAcentral.
UACGGGGGGGGCAAGCGUUGUUCGGAAUUACUGGGCGUAAAGGGCCAGUAGGCGGCCAACUAAGUCCGACGUGAAAUCCCCAGGCUCAACUUGGGAACUGCGUCGGAUACUGGAUGGCUUGAAUUCGGGAGAGGGAUGCAGAAUUCCAGGUGUAGCGGUGAAAUGCGUAGAUAUCAGGAGGAACACCGAUGGCGAAGGCAGGUCUCUGGGCCACUACUGACGCUGAGAAGCGAAAGCGUGGGGAGCGAACAGG